UACGGAGGGUGCGAGCGUUAAUCGGAAUUACUGGGCGUAAAGCGCGCGUAGGCGGUCUGAUCAGCCGGUUGUGAAGGCCCCGGGCUCAACCUGGGAACGGCAUCCGGAACUGUCAGGCUAGAGUGCAGGAGAGGAAGGUAGAAUUCCCGGUGUAGCGGUGAAAUGCGUAGAGAUCGGGAGGAAUACCAGUGGCGAAGGCGGCCUUCUGGACUGACACUGACGCUGAGGUGCGAAAGCGUGGGUAGCAAACAGGAUUAGAUACCCUGGUA
RNAcentral lists this ribosomal RNA (269 nucleotides) under uncultured prokaryote. Its description in RNAcentral is "partial 16S ribosomal RNA". It matches the Rfam family "Bacterial small subunit ribosomal RNA", at positions 524 to 792 of the family's 1533-position model. The record is from RNAcentral.